AUCACUUCUCGGCCUUUUGGCUAAGAUCAAGUGUAGUAUCUGUUCUUAUCAGUUUAAUAUCUGAUACGUCCUCUAUCUGAGGACAAUAUAUUAAAUGGAUUUUUGGAAGUAGGAGUUGGAAUAGGAGCUUGCUCCGUCCACUCCACGCAUCGACCUGGUAUUGCAGUACCUCCAGGAACGGUGCACCCAAA
This is a small nuclear RNA of Peromyscus maniculatus bairdii (prairie deer mouse), 191 nucleotides long. Its record names the gene U2. It matches the Rfam family "U2 spliceosomal RNA". From Rfam's summary of the family: U2 is a small nuclear RNA (snRNA) component of the spliceosome (involved in pre-mRNA splicing). Complementary binding between U2 snRNA (in an area lying towards the 5' end but 3' to hairpin I) and the branchpoint sequence (BPS) of the intron results the bulging out of an unpaired adenosine, on the BPS, which initiates a nucleophilic attack at the intronic 5' splice site, thus starting the first of two transesterification reactions that mediate splicing. The record is from Ensembl. NCBI's taxonomy places the organism in Eukaryota, Metazoa, Chordata, Mammalia, Rodentia, Cricetidae.